Long non-coding RNA from Pomacea canaliculata, 548 nucleotides. RefSeq lists it as uncharacterized. The transcript is spliced from 4 exons. The record is from RefSeq and is a predicted model, not a curated record. NCBI's taxonomy places the organism in Eukaryota, Metazoa, Mollusca, Gastropoda, Architaenioglossa, Ampullariidae.
UUCUAAACUUUAAAUCACAAUGGCGUCCAAAAGAAAAAAUUCCACCGGCCCAAAAAAACCAGCAAAGAAGAGGGCAUCAAAGACCCCAAAGAAAGUUGCCAAACCCAGAUCGAAAGCUGUUAAAACCAAGGCUCCUAGACUCAAUAGGAGCCAAAAAAUAACACUACAAGGGACCUUAACUAAUAAAAGCCUGACUCUAACUGAGUGGAAAACAAGCAAAAGAUCUCUCAAAAUUCCCCUUAAAUAGCCCCGACGAUUAUCCCAAGCCAUCUGCUAUGACCAAAACCAUUAGAAAUCCGUCAAAAGACUUAUCCUAAUCAACAGCAAAGAGAAUAUUUUUAUAUCGUGCUCGAAACAUUUCAUGUAAAAUACUGAUAAUCCUUUUUGUACAUGUACAUUUUAUCCAAUUUUAUUAGUAGAAACAAACCUUUUUAUAUCACUUUGAAAUAUUAUGAGAUUUUAGUGAAAAAGUAAUAAAGAAUAAUUACAAACUUUGCUGAUUGCUGAUAAUCUUAAUAAAACAUACAAAGUGAAUGCUUUGUUUGUGC